This 201-nucleotide ribosomal RNA is filed under the name Triticum aestivum (bread wheat). RNAcentral describes it as "partial small subunit ribosomal RNA". Lineage: Eukaryota; Viridiplantae; Streptophyta; Magnoliopsida; Poales; Poaceae. The record is from RNAcentral.
AUGAUUGAAGGUGAAUAUGACCAUAAGGUCAUAGGUUUUUAUGGUACCUUGAAAGAAAUCAUUGAGUUAGAUUAUAACUUGAAAGAUAGGUCAGUUCUUUUGUUUAAAUGUGGCUGGUUUAAACACGAUGGAAAGAAGACUGAACUUAAAAAUGAUGUUUUUUUUCAAAAGUAUACAUGUUGGAAGUUUGUGGUACAAUGA